Molecule: long non-coding RNA, 231 nt
Filed under: Malus domestica (apple)
Lineage: Eukaryota; Viridiplantae; Streptophyta; Magnoliopsida; Rosales; Rosaceae
Description: long non-coding RNA (MDOM_LNC004305)
Source: RNAcentral
CUAUAUCGUUUGCGAAAAGCAUACACCAAGGAAUAUCAUCUUGAAUAUGUCCUGUUAACUCAUCCAUUACCAAUGCAAAAAGGUAAGGACUUAAGGAUUGUUGAUGCACAAAAUCAGUGAGGACUUUGGUACAACAAAAAGUAUUAAGUUUGUGAUCUUCACUAGAUUGCUCUGGUCAUUAGUGUGGAUAAGUAUGUAAAUGGAUAGAGACAGGAAAGCAAACACAAGAUG